GGAGAGUGGUGUGGUUAGUGACCUCGCUGGCGAGAAGAUAGGAACCUGGCACUAGAGACGGGAGGAGGAAUCAUCUCCAAGACUGCCUCAUCCAUCCCCAUUUGUAUUUGAAAACUUUGCCUCCUGAAGGAUGACCAUGAUUUGGGCCGAACGAGCACAGCUCUCAGCAAGAUGACAAGAAAGACGAGCCCAGAGGGUGCUGAGUUCCGUUAGUCAAGCAAGGUCGCCAUAGAGUGUCUUUAAUAAAACAAAAUAAAAGC
Molecule: long non-coding RNA, 260 nt
Organism: Suricata suricatta (meerkat)
Lineage: Eukaryota; Metazoa; Chordata; Mammalia; Carnivora; Herpestidae
Exons: 2
Source: RefSeq, a predicted model, not a curated record